RNAcentral lists this ribosomal RNA (305 nucleotides) under uncultured bacterium. RNAcentral describes it as "bacterial SSU rRNA". It matches the Rfam family "Bacterial small subunit ribosomal RNA", at positions 338 to 639 of the family's 1533-position model. The record is from RNAcentral.
CCUACGGGGGGCAGCAGUGAGGAAUAUUGGUCAAUGGCCGGAAGGCUGAACCAGCCAAGUCGCGUGAGGGAAUAAGGCCCUAUGGGUCGUAAACCUCUUUUGUCAGGGAGCAAAGGCGUCCACGAGUGGACGAAAGGAGAGUACCUGAAGAGAAAGCAUCGGCUAACUCCGUGCCAGCAGCCGCGGUAAUACGGAGGAUGCGAGCGUUAUCCGGAUUUAUUGGGUUUAAAGGGUGCGGAGGCGGUCGGAUAAGUUAGAGGUGAAAUGCCGAGGCUCAACUUCGGAAUUGCCUCUGAUAUUGUUCG